Molecule: ribosomal RNA, 230 nt
Filed under: uncultured Alicycliphilus sp.
Lineage: Bacteria; Pseudomonadati; Pseudomonadota; Betaproteobacteria; Burkholderiales; Comamonadaceae
Description: partial 16S ribosomal RNA
Rfam family: Bacterial small subunit ribosomal RNA
Source: RNAcentral
AGCUGAUCAUUGGGUGUAAAGCGUGCGCAGGCGGUUUUGUAAGACAGUGGUGAAAUCCCCGGGCUCAACCUGGGAACUGCCAUUGUGACUGCAAGGCUAGAGUGCGGCAGAGGGGGAUGGAAUUCCGCGUGUAGCAGUGAAAUGCGUAGAUAUGCGGAGGAACACCGAUGGCGAAGGCAAUCCCCUGGGCCUGCACUGACGCUCAUGCACGAAAGCGUGGGGAGCAAACA